Molecule: Y RNA, 113 nt
Filed under: Microcebus murinus (gray mouse lemur)
Lineage: Eukaryota; Metazoa; Chordata; Mammalia; Primates; Cheirogaleidae
Description: Y RNA (ENSMICG00000026963.2)
Rfam family: Y RNA
About the family: Y RNAs are components of the Ro ribonucleoprotein particle (Ro RNP), in association with Ro60 and La proteins.
Source: Rfam by way of RNAcentral
AGUCGGUCCAAAGGUAGUGGGUUAUCUCAAUUGAUCACUCACAUCAGUUACAGAUGGAAUUCCUCCUUCUAACUCUUUCUCCCCUUCUCACUACUGCACUUGACUCGUCUUCA